UCUGUUAUGAUUAUAACAGAGAAUCAUGUAAGGUUUCGGAGAACCGGAACGAGAAAAAUGUCGAAAAAACUUCAAAAGGUUUCUCUGCAGUAGCCACUAUACUCCACUAUUUUAAGAUACUGCAUGCAGCACUAGCAUUGAAAAAAAAAACUCUUCGGAGUACGUAUAAAUUCCUUAAUAAUAAUAACAAUAAUAAUUAGGUUUCCAUCAUCUUUUGAUCUACCCAUGCCUGAAAUAAGGCAAAGUUU
Molecule: non-coding RNA, 248 nt
Organism: Cinara cedri
Lineage: Eukaryota; Metazoa; Arthropoda; Insecta; Hemiptera; Aphididae
Source: the annotation of a GenBank genome assembly